GACAGAGGGUGCAAACGUUGCUCGGAAUCACUGGGCGUAAAGGGCGUGUAGGCGGGAAUGUAAGUCGGGCGUGAAAUCCCUAGGCUCAACCUAGGAACUGCACUCGAAACUGCGUUUCUUGAGUAUCGGAGAGGAAAGCGGAAUACCUGGUGUAGAGGUGAAAUUCGUAGAUAUUCGGAGGAACACCAGUGGCGAAGGCGGCUCACUGGCUCGAUACUGACGCUGAGGUGCGAAAGCGUGGGGAGCAAACAGG
Molecule: ribosomal RNA, 253 nt
Filed under: uncultured bacterium
Lineage: Bacteria
Description: partial 16S ribosomal RNA
Rfam family: Bacterial small subunit ribosomal RNA
Source: RNAcentral